This is a long non-coding RNA of Oncorhynchus tshawytscha (Chinook salmon), 606 nucleotides long. The record is from Ensembl. Lineage: Eukaryota; Metazoa; Chordata; Actinopteri; Salmoniformes; Salmonidae.
ACUGUAUUUGUAACCCAGUGAUAAGACUGGAUAAACCUGUAAGGACAGAAGAAAGACAAGAAAUAGGACCUGAGCCCUAGGACCAUGCCUCAGGUCUACCCGGCCUGAUGACUACUUGCGGUCCCCAGUCCACCUGGCCCUGCUGCUGCUCCAGUUUAAACUGUUCUGCCUGCGGCUAUGGAACCAUGACCUGUUCACCGGACGUGCUACUUGUCCCAGACCUGAUGUUUUCAACUCUCAAGAGACAGCAGGAGCGGUAGAGAUACUCUGAAUGAUCGGCUAUGAAAAGCCAGCUGACAUUUACUCCUGAGGUGCUGACCUGUUGCACCAUUGACAACCACUGUGAUUAUUAUUAUUUGACCCUGCUGGUCAUCUAUGAACAUUUGAGCAUAUUGGCCAUGUUCUGUAAUAAUCUCCACCCGGCACAGCCAGAAGAGGACUGGCCACCCCUCAUAGCCUGGUUCCUCUCUAGGUUUCUUCCUAGGUUCUGGCCUUCCUGAGGAGUUUCUCCUAGCCACUGUGCUUCUACACCUGCAUUGCUUGCUGUUUGGGGUUUUAGGCUGGGUUUCUGUACAGCACUUUGAGAUAUCAGCUGAUGUAAGAAGG